This 89-nucleotide transfer RNA is filed under the name Oceanotoga teriensis. RNAcentral describes it as "Thermotogales bacterium OCT74 tRNA". It matches the Rfam family "tRNA". Rfam says of the family: Transfer RNA (tRNA) molecules are approximately 80 nucleotides in length. Their secondary structure includes four short double-helical elements and three loops (D, anti-codon, and T loops). The record is from Rfam by way of RNAcentral. Lineage: Bacteria; Thermotogati; Thermotogota; Thermotogae; Petrotogales; Petrotogaceae.
GGAGAGGUGGCCGAGCGGCCUAAGGCGCUUGCCUGCUAAGCAAGUGUAGGGUUUAUUCCCUACCGAGGGUUCGAAUCCCUCCCUCUCCG